This 77-nucleotide transfer RNA is filed under the name SAR116 cluster bacterium. Its description in RNAcentral is "tRNA-His". It matches the Rfam family "tRNA". Rfam says of the family: Transfer RNA (tRNA) molecules are approximately 80 nucleotides in length. Their secondary structure includes four short double-helical elements and three loops (D, anti-codon, and T loops). Further hydrogen bonds mediate the characteristic L-shaped molecular structure. tRNAs have two regions of fundamental functional importance: the anti-codon, which is responsible for specific mRNA codon recognition, and the 3' end, to which the tRNAs corresponding amino acid is attached (by aminoacyl-tRNA synthetases). tRNAs cope with the degeneracy of the genetic code in two manners: having more than one tRNA (with a specific anti-codon) for a particular amino acid; and 'wobble' base-pairing, i.e. permitting non-standard base-pairing at the 3rd anti-codon position. The record is from RNAcentral. Lineage: Bacteria; Pseudomonadati; Pseudomonadota; Alphaproteobacteria; Puniceispirillales (SeqCode).
GCGAGUGUAGCUCAGUAGGUUAGAGCGCUAGACUGUGACUCUUGAGGUCGCCGGUUCGAUUCCGGUCACUCGCCCCA